CUGGAACAGACCCAAGCAGAGUUUUGGGGUUCCCAGCUGGUGAGGUCCCCACAAAAACCUGCUCAACAACAGAGUCUCUGAUACAGCAUUAACAAAGACCACCUCCUGCAAAGGCUCCCAGGCCAACUGAGGCCCUGGGGCCUCCAGCCAGCUUUAGGGCAGUAUGUCCUGGUGUUAGUGAGCAUGCAGGUGAAAGGAGAAAACAGGACAAAAGUAUAAAGGAGAAACAUCCCAUCCAGAAAGCCUUGCCUGCAGCCCGGUGCCAUCCUGCCUGUCCUGGAACCCAUAUGCUAGGCUAUUUGGUUUCUGCCCUCAAGGAUGCAGGGAUGGGCAAGGCAAAAAUUCCCUAGGUAAAAACUGAGGCAAUUGAUGAUGGGAGCUGAGGGGACUCUGACUCGGGUAUCACUGCUCCAUCUCAGAACAACCCCCACUGGAGCCUCAGGACUCCGGUUCCAUUUGCCAGAAUGAAACUUGGGCAGUAUGCAUCAGCUUGGGAGGUCCCUGUGACAUUCCAGCCCGGAAAAGGAUCCACAUCCAACAAAGAGAAGGAGCCCAAACCACCCUGGGUUGCUAACUGCUAUGUCAGAACUAGCGUAGCCUAGGCUUCCUGUCUCUGGGCCUUAAUAUCCACAGAGCACAGCAUCUACCACUCAGGGUUGCUCUGUCAUCAGAUGGCACUGCAUUUAGAGAGACCCAGGCAUGACCUAGGACCGUCCAUGUGGCCAUUUGCAGUUCACAUACUUCUCAAGACCCUUCACCCUUUACCUAAUUCAGGACUCUGGGACAGGGCAAAAUAGCCAGGGCACAUGAUUUGCCUGCAGGACAAGCCCAGGCCCAGGGAAGGGAAAACAGUCAAACUGGAGUCAGGACUAGGAGAAGAUCUCAUCCCUGUUUCCUUCUCCCACAACAGCCUGCAUGUGAGCGUGUCCCACAGGCCCCAGAUCACCUCCUCUGGGACACUGGAGGGCUCAGUCCAUCUUGCUGUCUCAUGAGGAAGCAGGGAUGGAGGGCAGGAAUGGAGGGCAGGAGAGGCGUCUUCCCCGGUGAGUCAUAGGGAGACUUGAGUUGUCUGCACCAUUUAGGGACUGGGUACCACGAGGCGUCCCGGGGGCUGGGCCUGCAGGGCCCUCAGAGGCUCCAGCUCCAGGCAGGCGGCCCUGAUCAGGGCGCACGUGGCUGCGGUGCAGCCGCACGGUGAUGUCAGGCCCACCGCGCCCGGGCCCCAGCACGUUCGUCCCGCUGGUGAGCCGGGAACAAAGCGUCCUCCACAUUCCUGUGCGCUGACUCAUAGCCGUCACGUAGCGCACUGCCAGCUGCUUUGCCCAAAAUUGGUGGCGAGGCGAGGGCGGGCCGAGCACCAUGGCCACCGCCUACUCGAAAAGCCACACAAGCUGGACCGCUUCGCGCCCCCGGCAUGAGGUUUCCCAACAAGCACAUCGGAGGGAAAUGACAGCGUGGGCUCUGUGGCCUGGAAUGCGAGGGUGGCAGCAGGUGAAUCUCUGAGGGAGGCUCAAGAAGCUUCGGUUUCUCCGUGCAGAUAAACACUCCAAGGUUGCAAGGACCUGAAUAGCUGUAUACAUAAUCUGGGAGAGAGGUUGUCAUCACAUAAAUGGCAAAGGGCAAGAAGAUCGGAGGAAUUCAUUCAUACAGACUGGAUUUGAGCCCUGAACAUACCUGGGAAAGCACCUGGACCUCUUAGAACCUGGAGAUCAACAAGUUGACAUACCUCAAAAGGUUAUGCUGUGAGCACUGAGUGUUAUGUCAUCAGAUUUGAUCAGUAAUGUGGAUUGCUAUCAGUAGCUGACUCUUUCUUGUGGAAUCCUCACCCCUGCCAUCCAUGACCAUCCGUUCAUACAGAAGGAAACUGAACCCAAAGAAAGUGGAAGACCACUUGAGAUGAGACGUGGGUCUUGGAUUCAAACCUAACUUGACCUGACACUGGGAGCAGAGUUUUCAGCCACUAGCCUGCCCCCUGACCCCAGUGAGAAGCAAGAGAAGGCCUGGCCAGAGAUGGCUAUAAUAGACAACCUGCAGGUAUUCAGAGGAGAGUUAGACCUCCUGCAUUGAAUAGAGCUGAGGGUACUUUCUAGGGGAGACAACACUUGUGAUGAAGCCUGGCUUGAUGGCACAUGUCUAUAAUCCCAGCACUUCCAAGAGUAGAGGCAGGAGGAUCAGGGGUUCAAGGUCAGCCUUGGCUAUGUAGGGAGUUUGAGGCCACCCUUGGUUACAUGAGCUAGUACCUCAGAAAUAAAAACAAAACACAAAGCACAAAAUUGUAGUGAACCUUGAAAAAUGGACAGAAUAAAUCAGGUAGGAAUCAAGAAAGGAUGUGUGGCACUGGGGCAAGGAUGUUGGCUAUGGUCUGUUGGGUGUGGGGCGCCCAGAUCAGCACUGAGGAGACAAGGCAGGAGAAACAGGUCAUGUUCA
RNAcentral lists this long non-coding RNA (2427 nucleotides) under Cricetulus griseus (Chinese hamster). RNAcentral's name for it is "lncRNA (ENSCGRG00015042992.1)". The record is from RNAcentral. Lineage: Eukaryota; Metazoa; Chordata; Mammalia; Rodentia; Cricetidae.